This is a non-coding RNA of Durio zibethinus, 5148 nucleotides long. The record is from RefSeq and is a predicted model, not a curated record. Lineage: Eukaryota; Viridiplantae; Streptophyta; Magnoliopsida; Malvales; Malvaceae.
UCAUUUCAGCUAAAAACCCUGAAAAGCAAAUCAUAAUGCAUAAAGCUUCAAAGGGUUCCUUCUAAUUCAUCAAAGGAACCCACGAAAAGUUUCCAACAAAAGAAAACAUAUAUAUAGAAAUAAAAGUACCUUGAGGGCUAAGUGGAAUUCAUUUUGUAUUUGCAACUUAGCCAAAGUGUCCAAAAGGUCAGCUUUGAGUAAUCUGGAAAGUCUGGCGGAGAGAGAGAGAGAAAAAAAUCCAUUAAAAAAGGGUAUUUUCGGUAUAUAGUGUUAAGUAGUCCAGGGCCAUGGAAGUUGAUUAUGCGACUCGGUUGACUUAAAAUAGCAUUCGAAGUCUUGCAAGCGUAAUUAAAACAUUUUACACCAAAGGAAAAGCAAAAGCUGUACUAUAAUUGAAAUCUGAUUCAGAGAUUACCUGCAAAAUUUCUCCAAAAUUAGUAUGGAACAUAAGGUAGUUGAAGCUGUCCUCGGUGCUGCUGUGGAGUUGACACUAUCCAAUGUGAUUUCACUUGCUGCUGAACAAGUUAGCCUAGCCUGGGGUUUCAAGAAGGACCUGCGAAAGUUUAGAGUCUUGCUAACCAUGAUUCAGGCAAUGUUACAAGAUGCAGAGGAAAAGCAUGUUAGAGAUGGGGCUGUCAGGCUGUGGCUGCAGGAGCUUAGAGAUGUUGCUUAUGAGGUUCAUGACGUUCUAGACGAGUUUGCUUAUCAAAAUCUCCAGAUGAAGGUAAAAAUUCAGAAUCAAAUCAGUAGAAAGCUCUGCAAUUUCAUUUCACCUUCCAUCCCUGUGUCAUGUCGUCUCAAGAUGGGUAAUAAGAUUAAAAAUAUCAAUGUAUCCCUCAGAAACAUUAAUGAUCAGGCCAGCCAAUUUGGACUCCAAAGGAAAGUUGGGGAAAUGGUUCCUGUACCUAGAGGAAACCAAGAGACCCACUCUUUAAUUGGUGAUUCAUUUAAUGUUGUAGGAAGGGAAGAUGAUGUCUUCAAAAUUAUUGACUUGUUGAUUAACUCCAAUACUCAGCAAACUCUCUCUGUUGUAUCUGUUGUGGGUAUGGCUGGCCUUGGGAAGACUACUUUGGCAAAAGUAGUAUGCAACAAUGAGCCAAUACAAGAUCAUUUUGGUAAAAUCAUGUGGGUUUGUGUGUCUGAUGAUUUUGAUGUGGAAAGAAUUGUGGUGGAGAUGCUAGAAUCUCUUAGCAAAAACCCUUGUGCAAUUAAAAACAAGGAUACAGUGCUUCGAAGAAUACAAGAAGAAUUAGGAGGGGAAAGAUAUCUUCUCAUACUUGAUGAUGUUUGGAAUGAAAACACUGAAAAGUGGGAAGAUUUAAAAGGAUGUCUGUUGGGAAUAAGUAGAAAUAUAGGGAGUAAAAUUAUUGUGACAACUCGCAGUGAUUAUGUAGCAUGGGUGAUGGGAACAAUUCCUGAACAUAGGCACUAUCCUAAGAAAUUGGUGGAUGAUGAGUGCUGGUCCAUAAUCAAAGAAAAAGCUUUUGGAAGCGCUUCAAUACCACUAGAAAUGGAGGUUAUUGGAAAGGAUAUUGCUAAAAAGUGCAGAGGUGUGCCACUGGUUGCAAGGGUUAUAGGAGGGACUAUGAGCAAUAAAAGGGACAAAGAGGAGUGGUUGUCGAUUAAAAAUAGUAACAUUUGGGAUUCUCUCGAAAGGAACGAUGGUAUUUUGCAUGUGCUAAAGUUAAGUUUUGAUCGCUUGCCUUCACCAUCUUUGAAGCAGUGUUUUGCAUAUUGUUCAAAUUUUCCCAAGGAUUUUCACAUUGACCGGGAGCAAUUAAUUCAGUUUUGGAUGGCUGAAGGAUUCCUUCAUCCAUCUCAAGAAGGUCAUCAUAUGACCAUGGAGGAUACUGGUAAUGCACACUUUAAAGCACUCUUAUCAAAUUCCUUGUUCCAAGAUGUGGAAAGGGAUGCCUAUGGGAACAUUGACGUUUGUAAGAUGCAUGAUUUAGUUCAUGAUCUUGCAGUGUUUGUUUCGAAAGAAGAAACCAUGGUUUUGGACACCGACUCCAUGCGUGAUACAUCUCAUAUUCGACAUAUGAGUGUCAUCUUCAAUGGGGAACUGGUGCCAGACAUUUUAGGACAUGCUGCACCAAAGUUGCACUCUUUGUUUUCCAAGGUUGAUGUAUUUUGCAACUUUUCAGGGGAUCUCAAAAGGUUACGAACUCUAAAGUUAUCUGGAGCCUACAUAAAAAAGUUGCCAGAUUCUCUGGGCAAAUUAAAGCAUUUAAGAUUCUUUGACAUCUCAAGAACAAAUGUCACAGAGCUACCAAAGUCCUUUACUCAGCUCUAUAAUCUGCAAACCUUGAGAGUUGUAAAGAGUUCUCUUGAGAAGCUUCCUAGAGGAAUGAAAAAUCUAGUUAGCAUGAGGCAUAUUUAUUUCGAUCUUGAAAAGUUAAUGCCAGUUGAUAUUGGACGCUUAACUUGUCUUCAAACAUUGUCGUUCUUUUUCGUGGACACGGAAAAGGGAUGCCGAGUAGAAGAACUGGGAUGCUUAAGCCAACUGGGAGGAAAAUUGAAGAUAUGCAACCUUGAAGAUGUAAAAGACAAUGCAGAAGCCAGUAGGGCUAACAUUCAAGCAAAGACAAAAUUAUACAAGCUGAAAUUGAAAUGGAGCUACAAAAGAAAAUGCCACAUAAAUGAUAAGGAAGUACUUGAAGGCCUCAAGCCUAGCUCAAAUCUGAAAAGUCUAACCAUUGUGAAUUAUUGGGGGGAUGACUUGCCGUCAUGGAUGUUGAAGAGUGAGUAUGGUUCUGAUCACCCAUUUCCACUCAACAAUUUGGUGAAGUUAAAAUUAAUCAAUUGCAAGGAAUGCCUGAAUGUUCCAUGUCUCGGGCAAUUGUGCAAUCUGAGGGUGCUUGAAAUAGAUGAAAUGAAGAAGGUGAAGAGGAUUGGUGGUGAAUUUUAUUUCAAUCGAUCUGACAACAAGAUUGACAAAACAAGUAGCCAGGGUCAGGGUGAGGCAACGAAGUUGUUUCCAGCUUUGAGAAGAUUUAUCUUAGUGGAAAUGGAAAGCCUGGAGGAAUGGGCAGAUGAGAUGGAUAAAGCUAUAAUAGAAAGAGAAGAUGUGGCUGUGUUUCCUUGCCUUGAGGAGUUGAUUAUUUCUGGCUGUCCCAAGCUGAAAAGUGCUCCAAUACAGAGAAAACUUUCAUCUCUUCAGGUACUCCAAGUUUCCUAUUGUGGUGAAAUAAGCUCUUUAGGGGAUGGACUAUCUGCCUCCUCUUGUCUUAAAGAAUUACACAUCCAAGCUUGUCCAAAUUUAAGAUCCAUCCCAACCAUGGAUGGACUCUCUAUGUGUCUCAAAGAAUUAAGAAUAUGGGACUGUCCUAAUUUGAGAUCCAUACCAAGUAUAGAAGGCUUCUCCUCUCUUACAGAUCUAACAAUCAAGGAUUGUGAAGGAUUAUCAUGCCUACCUGGUGGGUUAAAAUCAUGUAAUUCUCUUGAAAAUUUGAACAUACACAAUUGCCCCAGCCUGAGCUCUGUUCCACAAGAUCUAGGGGAAUUGCGUUCUCUUAUGUUUUUAUCCAUAACAUCUUGUCGAAAGUUGACUUGCCUUCCAGGAAAGAUUCUAGGUUGCCUCACUGGCCUGAAGACAUUGCAUAUUGGUGGAUUCUCAGAACAGCUGGAAGAGUUCCCAGGUCUUACUUCAAUCUACCAUCUCCAUGCAUCCCUCGAAUAUUUGGAAUUAUAUGGAUGGAAAAAUCUGAAGUCUCUACCAAAUCAGCUUCAACAUCUUGUUUCUCUCAAGUCUUUUGAAAUAUGGGACUUCAAUGCGGUGGAAGUGUUGCCUGAGUGGUUCAGAAACUUCUCCUCUCUUCAACGACUUCAAUUUUGGAAUUGUAACAACUUGAUGCUUUUGCCAUCUAUGGAAGCCAUGCAACAGCUCUCCAAAAUACAGAGACUUGAAAUCAACAAGUGUCCCCAACUAAAGGAAAAUUGUGCCGAGCAAAGUGGCCCUGAAUGGCCAAAGAUUGCCCACAUUCCAAACUUACAAAUUAAGUAACAUUCAGUAAUGACAGUUUCUAAUUUCCUGGUAUUCUGAAAAUCAAUGGCAUUACAUGGAUGCUUUAAAUUCAAACACUUGAUCUCUUAGGGACACUAUCAUGCACAGUUGUCUCAAGUGUUGACUCCUAAUCAAUACAUUAAGAGCUAAACUUGGUGUCAAGAUUGGUCUUUUCUUGGUCUAAAAAGGGGAUAUGCACCACCUAAUUCAGAUAGAAGGAAGGGAGUUCUAAGGAGGAAACGUCUUGAGUAUCUUGAUUGUGUUGCUUAAUUUUAUGACAUUCCAGACAUUGAACGGUCAGAUGAUAUGAUUAAUAUGCUUUGCCAGAUUGCUGUUGAUUGUCCUAGAACUGUACCUGAUGUUGUUUUCUUUCAGCAAGCACAAGUCCAAAAGUCCUUGGAGCGCAUUCUUUAUGCAUAGGCCAUUCGGCAUCCUGCAAGUAGAUAUGUGUAGGGGAUAAAUGAUCUUGUCACACCCUUUCUAGUUGUCUUCUUAUCAGAGUACUUAGAAAGGAGCAAAGAUGGUUGGUCAACCUCUGAUAUAUCUUCAGAGAACAUCUCCAGCAUAGAAGUUGAUUGCUAUUGGCGCUUGUCAAAGUUGCUUGAUGGCAUGCAAGGCCAUUACACAUUUGCUUAACCAGGAAUCCAGAGGCUUGUAUUUAAGCUGAAGGAAUUGGUUAGGCGAUUUGAUGAACCUGUUUCUAGACAUAUGGAGGACCAAGGACUUGAAUUUCUUCAAUUUGCUUUUCUCUAGUUCAACUGGCUAUUGAUACGUGAGAUCCCUUUCCAUCUGGUAACCCGUCUAUGGGACACCCAUCUUGUUGAAGAAGAUGCACUGCCUAAUUUCCUUGUUUACAUAUUUGCCAAUUUUCUUUUAAUGGUGAGGAGUGUUUUAACUUCCUUUGUGCUGAUGUAAUUUACAAGCAGUCAUCUUUGACUACAACCUUAAGGAGAUACAGCUGUGAUAAUUCUUCAAAUAAAAAGAUGUGUGUUUGUGUUUUUUCUUGCUUCUUUUUUUAAUGACUAUUUCUUUGGUCAAAAACAUAAUUAUUACACCAACGGGGUUCGUUGAGUUGGUAAAAUUCAAAUACUUCGCUUGUAAAGCGUAGGUUCUAAUCCUGCAAUAAGCAGUCCUCUUUGAUGUGU